This 175-nucleotide non-coding RNA is filed under the name Lutispora thermophila. Its description in RNAcentral is "Lysine sequence". It matches the Rfam family "Lysine riboswitch aptamer". From Rfam's summary of the family: Riboswitches are metabolite binding domains within certain messenger RNAs that serve as precision sensors for their corresponding targets. RNAcentral also lists the same sequence under 1 other name. The record is from RNAcentral. Lineage: Bacteria; Bacillati; Bacillota; Clostridia; Lutisporales; Lutisporaceae.
UCACGAGAUAGAGGUGCGCUUUUAAUUAUUAAACAGCAUGAGGUAGUGCCUGCCGAUGAGUACUGUUGAAAGGUAAAAGCGCCGAAGGGAGAAAAAUAGCACUGUUUUUCUCGCCUGGUUCAUGUAUGAAUAAUACCUGGACUGUCAUCUUUCGAGAUGGAGAGCUAUCCAUGAA